UCCCUCGUGGCGCAAUUGGCUAGCGCGUUCGACUGUUACCUGCAAAGAGCAUCGAGAGGUUGGUGGUUCGAGCCCACCCGAGGGAG
This 86-nucleotide transfer RNA is filed under the name Blumeria hordei DH14. Its description in RNAcentral is "tRNA-Asn for anticodon GUU". The record is from RNAcentral. Lineage: Eukaryota; Fungi; Ascomycota; Leotiomycetes; Helotiales; Erysiphaceae.